This 329-nucleotide ribosomal RNA is filed under the name uncultured eukaryote. Its description in RNAcentral is "partial 18S ribosomal RNA". It matches the Rfam family "Eukaryotic small subunit ribosomal RNA", at positions 1470 to 1796 of the family's 1831-position model. The record is from RNAcentral.
CCCUUAGAUGUUCUGGGCCGCACGCGCGCUACACUGAUGCAUUCAACGAGUCUAAAACCUGGUCUGAGAGGGCUGGGUAAUCUUUUGAAAGUGCAUCGUGAUUGGGAUAGAUGAUUGCAAUUCUUCAUCUUCAACGAGGAAUGCCUAGUAAACGCAAGUCAUCAGCUUGCAUUGAUUACGUCCCUGCCCUUUGUACACACCGCCCGUCGCUCCUACCGAUUGAACGAUCCGACGAAAACUGUGGAUUGAGAGUCUGAGUGGGUUCGCCUACCUCAACUUUCGAGAAGCGGUUUAAAUCUUAUCGUUUAGAGGAAGGAGAAGUCGUAACA